UACGUAGGGGGCAAGCGUUAUCCGGAUUUACUGGGUGUAAAGGGAGCGUAGGCGGUGAUGCAAGUCAGAAGUGAAAGCCCGCAGCUCAACUGCGGGACUGCUUUUGAAACUGUAUGACUAGAUUGCAGGAGAGGUAAGUGGAAUUCCUAGUGUAGCGGUGAAAUGCGUAGAUAUUAGGAGGAACACCAGUGGCGAAGGCGGCUUACUGGACGGCAACUGACGCUGAGGCUCGAAAGCGUGGGGAGCGAACAGG
Molecule: ribosomal RNA, 253 nt
Filed under: uncultured bacterium
Lineage: Bacteria
Description: partial 16S ribosomal RNA
Rfam family: Bacterial small subunit ribosomal RNA
Source: RNAcentral